CACCUGUGCACCGACUGUAGGUCUGGAUACCUCUCGCCCUUCACGGGGCGGAUGCGAGGACUGCUCGUAAGGGCUCUCCUCGAAUUUCCAGGCUCUACGUCUUUUUACACACCCCAAUAGUAUGAUGUAGAAUGUAGUCAAUGGGCUUCUUAGCCUAUAAAACACUAUACAACUUUCAGCAACGGAUCUCUUGGCUCUCGCAUCGAUGAAGAACGCAGCGAAAUGCGAUAAGUAAUGUGAAUUGCAGAAUUCAGUGAAUCAUCGAAUCUUUGAACGCACNUUGCGCUCNUUGGUAUUCCGAGGAGCAUGCGUGUUUGAGUGUCAUUAAAUUCUCAACCUCACCAGUUUUCUGAACUGUUCUCCGAGGCUUGGAUGUGGGGGUUUGUGCAGGCUGCCUCACGGCGGUCUGCUCCCCUGAAAUGCAUUAGCGAGUUCAUACUGAACUUCCGUCUAUUGGUGUGAUAAUUAUCUACGCCGUGGACGAGGUUCAGACUCGCUUCUAACCGUCCGCGAGGACAAUA
Molecule: ribosomal RNA, 521 nt
Filed under: Coprinus sp. 113
Lineage: Eukaryota; Fungi; Basidiomycota; Agaricomycetes; Agaricales; Agaricaceae
Description: eukaryotic LSU rRNA
Rfam family: 5.8S ribosomal RNA (bases 171-324)
Source: RNAcentral